Molecule: long non-coding RNA, 862 nt
Organism: Mangifera indica (mango)
Lineage: Eukaryota; Viridiplantae; Streptophyta; Magnoliopsida; Sapindales; Anacardiaceae
Exons: 3
Source: RefSeq, a predicted model, not a curated record
GAAACUUACGACUGUGCCCACCUUCAAAGCCCCUGAGUUGAAGCUCUCUCCACUCUUGAACCAUUGCACAACAGCAACACAUGAGAUGAGUAAGGAAAUCAUCGCAUGCACCUCCCUGCACAACACACCCAAAAUGUUGAAACUUUUUCCUUAUACAGCAAGUGUAACAGCAACAUCCACAGAAGAGGGAAUACGCCGUGAGUCUGUCAAUUGCUUCCUCCCGGGCUGUGGUACCAAUCAACAAAACUAUGAAAACGCUUGAAUUUAUACCUGCAUACGGAACUCAUGGACAAGGGAAAUCAAGGGCACGAGCUUAAGAUAACGAUCAAUCUCCGCCUGAACUUGACGGAACUGAUACACUACGCUCCACCCCAUGGCAAGCAUGUAUAAGCAACUCUUAUUUCUGCAGCUCUCCACUAAAUCAAACGCCUUCUUCAACGCUUCCUCCAAGCAAUCCAGUGGCUCUUUUAUGGCUGGUAACCUUACAAGGUCAGUUGAUUUCAACUUCUCCAACAAGUUCCCUAUCAUCUUCACGUGCUCCGCCAGCUGCUCGCAGUUUCUACGGUGUGUUGCCGCCUUUCCGGCCGAUGAUAUGAUCAGGUUCACUAUGCCUACCGCAUCUACUCCGGUUACUUGAGCCAAGGUUUCCAUUCUUUUCAGAGUUGAGUUUUUGCAAUGAUUUUGGGGUGCAGCGAUUUUGAAGUAGUGACUUCGGCUUCUUUUCGUUUUUCGGGUUUUGUUAAAUUUGUUCUCACUUUUGAGUGAAUUACAUUUUCCGCCCAAGAUUUUUCAGAAAAUUAUUUCCCACCCAAGAUUUAAUUCGAAGUCUACAGUGAAAAGUCUCACUACAGUUUCCUCUUCA